RNAcentral lists this ribosomal RNA (921 nucleotides) under Venturia tremulae var. tremulae. Its description in RNAcentral is "eukaryotic LSU rRNA". It matches the Rfam family "Eukaryotic large subunit ribosomal RNA", at positions 1 to 943 of the family's 3401-position model. The record is from RNAcentral. Lineage: Eukaryota; Fungi; Ascomycota; Dothideomycetes; Venturiales; Venturiaceae.
GUUGGCCUCGGAUCAGGUGGGGAUACCCGCUGAACUUAAGCAUAUCAAUAAGCGGAGGAAAAGAAACCAACAGGGAUUGCCUCAGUAACGGCGAGUGAAGCGGCAACAGCUCAAAUUUGAAAUCUGGCGCAAGCCCGAGUUGUAAUUUGCAGAGGAUGUUUCGGGUGAAGCCACGGUCCAAGUCCCUUGGAACAGGACGUCAUAGAGGGUGAGAACCCCGUACCUGGCCGUCGGUGCCCCCCGCUGUGAAACUCCUUCGACGAGUCGAGUUGUUUGGGAAUGCAGCUCUAAAUUGGUGGUAAAUUCCAUCUAAAGCUAAAUACCGGCCAGAGACCGAUAGCGCACAAGUAGAGUGAUCGAAAGAUGAAAAGCACUUUGAAAAGAGAGUUAAAAAGUACGUGAAAUUGUUGAAAGGGAAGCGCUUGCGGCCAGACUUGCCCGCGGUUGCUCAGCCCGCCUUUUGGCGGGUGCACUCUUCCGCGGUCAGGCCAGCAUCGGUUUGGGCGGUCGGAUAAAGGCGUUGGGAACGUGGCCUCCCCUCGGGGAGGUGUUAUAGCCCGGCGCGCAAUGCGACCAGCCCGGACCGAGGUUCGCGCUUUGCUAGGAUGCUGGCGUAAUGGCCGUAAGCGGCCCGUCUUGAAACACGGACCAAGGAGUCUAACAUCUAUGCGAGUGUUUGGGUGUCAAACCCGUGCGCGUAAUGAAAGUGAACGGAGGUGGGAACCGCAAGGUGCACCAUCGACCGAUCCUGAUGUCUUCGGAAGGAUUUGAGUAAGAGCAUAGCUGUUGGGACCCGAAAGAUGGUGAACUAUGCGUGAAUAGGGUGAAGCCAGAGGAAACUCUGGUGGAGGCUCGCAGCGGUUCUGACGUGCAAAUCGAUCGUCAAAUUUGCGUAUAGGGGCGAAAGACUAAUCGAACCAU